GGCCCUACCAAAUGGAUACAAAAAAUAAAAAUUAAUCUACAGCAGAGGGUUUCUUUAUAGUAAAUACAGGUCCAGCAUUUAGCGGAAGGAGGCUCCAAUAAGAACCUCGGUAGUCUAUACAACAACUGUGCCACUUGAUUCUAUAAGAACCAACUGGAAAAUCAGAAACAUCAAGCAGGCAACUGGAAAAGCCUUGCCCUCUAUCAUUUAGCUCAAAACACACAAAUCUGUACACAGUCCCAUCGUCACUACUAGCAUCGUAAUCCCGACCACGUUUACAAUUGUCCGUCUUCUUGGCACGAUCAAUUACUUGGUGCCACAAUCUUUCAUUCAUUGCAAUCAUACUGGACAUUUCCCAAUCAUCGUAAUCCAACUGCAUUUGCCCUCUGGCUUCUCCACUUGAUUUAGGCUCCUGAAAAGAUGCACUAGAACAAAGAAUGCAAUAAAGCUUUGUCAUCCGAACUGCGAGAUUCAUUGGCACAUUCCUC
This 488-nucleotide unclassified non-coding RNA is filed under the name Hevea brasiliensis (rubber tree). Lineage: Eukaryota; Viridiplantae; Streptophyta; Magnoliopsida; Malpighiales; Euphorbiaceae. The record is from RNAcentral.